RNAcentral lists this ribosomal RNA (739 nucleotides) under uncultured Bacillota bacterium. RNAcentral's name for it is "bacterial SSU rRNA". It matches the Rfam family "Bacterial small subunit ribosomal RNA", at positions 66 to 813 of the family's 1533-position model. Lineage: Bacteria; Bacillati; Bacillota. The record is from RNAcentral.
GCGAUGCUUCUUCGGAAGCGUCAAUUAGCGGCGGACGGGUGAGUAACACGUGGGUAACCUGCCUCAAAGAGGGGAAUAGCCUCCCGAAAGGGAGAUUAAUACCGCAUAAUAUAUUUUGGUCGCAUGAUCAAAAUAUCAAAGGAUUCUCUUCGGAGUUUCCACUUUGAGAUGGACCCGCGGCGCAUUAGCUAGCUGGUGAGGUAACGGCUCACCAAGGCAACGAUGCGUAGCCGACCUGAGAGGGUGAUCGGCCACAUUGGAACUGAGACACGGUCCAGACUCCUACGGGAGGCAGCAGUGGGGAAUAUUGCGCAAUGGGGGAAACCCUGACGCAGCAACGCCGCGUGAAUGAUGAAGGCCUUCGGGUUGUAAAGUUCUGUCUUCUGGGACGAUAAUGACGGUACCAGAGGAGGAAGCCACGGCUAACUACGUGCCAGCAGCCGCGGUAAUACGUAGGUGGCAAGCGUUGUCCGGAUUUACUGGGCGUAAAGGAUGCGUAGGCGGACAUUUAAGUCAGAUGUGAAAUACCCGAGCUUAACUUGGGUGCUGCAUUUGAAACUGGGUGUCUAGAGUGCAGGAGAGGUAAGUGGAAUUCCUAGUGUAGCGGUGAAAUGCGUAGAGAUUAGGAAGAACACCAGUGGCGAAGGCGACUUACUGGACUGUAACUGACGCUGAGGCAUGAAAGCGUGGGGAGCAAACAGGAUUAGAUACCCUGGUAGUCCACGCCGUAAACGAUGAA